UCUGGUGAGAAUCUACCUUAAGAUGAGAACCUCCUUAUAAUGAGAACCUCUAAUCACCGUCCGAUUAAACCUAAAUUAACGGAUGAGAUCGGAUCUUAACCAAUCUAACUCCCGACCACCUUUGGUUCCAAAUUCCAAACCAGGCAUUUCUCUCUCCUCCUUCCCAAAAAUAUCGACUUUCUCUCUCUACUCCCUGAGAAAUCGACUUCGAUUUUCCCUUCAAAUAUCUUCAAAAUUGUUGCGAAUUUUUGUGUGAAUUUUUAGAGCUGGAUUUUGUGCCGAUUUCGAGAGAUUAUGGGAUCAAUUAUGUGAGAAUUUUCAAGUUAUUUGGUGAAUUCACUUCAAAAUUUAUCAAUCAUAGAGUGAUCUUCGCAUGUUAAAUUGAAUCAAUUUUCUCCAUGAAUUGCAAUGUCAUCGAUAAUUUGCUGCGAAAUUCCCUUAGAUAGAGGCUGCUACAAGUUGGGGAUUGGUGUGGCUCGGAUGAGCACCUACUUCUUUGUAUAGAUUAGUAGUAUGAACUGACGGAGGAGGACCCGACUACUAGAUCACCUGCAAAGGAGGCCUACCAGAAGCAGCUGGGGGAGGUAUUCAAUAUGAACAGGACAAGUAUUCUUGCAUUCAAGAACAAGCCACCUAAUCCUGUUGAGUUCAUGCCCCAGGAGUAUACUUCUGUCCACCAACCUAAGUCCGUUAAGCCUCACAGACACAUCCCUCAGGUAAUUUUUAUGCCUAUUUGUAUAUAAAAUCUACAAAAUCGUUUAUGUUUAUUGUUGUUCGUUUAAUUGGGUUGUUUGGUUAAAGUAGGAUAAGAAACCCUAAGCAGGAAUUGUUCUGUUCUUUGUAUAUUGAGUGUAUAGUUGCAGACUUCAGAGCGUACAUUGGAUGCCCCCAAUCUGUUAGACAACUACUACUUGAAUUCGUUGGAUUAGGAUAGCAAUAAUGUUCUUGCAAUAGCUCUUGGAACCGCAAUGUACCUUUGGGAUGCAUCUACUGGAUCUACUUCAGAAUUGGUAGCCGUUGAUGAUGAUAAAGGUCCUGUAACCACUGUAAACUGGGCUCCUGACGGUCGUCACGUUGGUGUUGACUUGAACGAUUCUGAAGUUCAGCUCUGGGAUUCAACAUCCAACCGGCAGGCAACACUUAACAUCUAACUCUACAACUUUCAAUGACCAAUUAGUCUAUUGUUUAUUGGUUCAAUUAUGACAUUCAUUGUUUUGUUGUACCUGUAGUUGAGGACUUUGAAAGGAGGCCACAGAGCUCGUGUUGGGUCACUGACAUGGAACAACCACAUCCUCACCACUGAUCAAUGGACAGAAAGAUUGUUAACAUUGAUGUGAGGAUUAGAGACCAUGUAGUGGAGACCUACAGAGGACACCAACAAGAGGUUUGUUGCCUAAAGUGGUCAGCUUUAGGGAAACAACUAGGUAGUGGAGGCUGCUGCAAGUUGGGAAUUGGUGUAGCUCAGAUGAGCACCUAGUUCUUGGUAUAGAUCAAUAGUAUGACCUUGGUAUACUUCAGAUCCGAUGCAGUCUACGCAGAAGCUUGAGAUUGGGCUUUCGUUAUAAGGCUCGUUGCACGUCUUGUGGUCAGGUUAUUGACAACAUUAUUAAAUGAUAGAAAAGGUAGGUUUUGGUCUGGCUGAAGCUGCUAUUUUUGUUGUCUUAGUAGACCAAAGUUGACUCGUUGACUUUGGUGCAAGAUUAACCUCUAUAUCUAUUAGGUAUUAGCUCUUGAUCCCUAAUGAAUAUUGACAUGCUAGGCUUUGGAGCGUGUAUGGCGUGAUGUCAUUUGGAGUUGAGUAUUUUGGUAGUAGAUGUUCUUAAACCUAUUAGCUCAAAUGGUAGAGCACU
Long non-coding RNA from Spinacia oleracea (spinach), 1850 nucleotides. RefSeq lists it as uncharacterized. NCBI's taxonomy places the organism in Eukaryota, Viridiplantae, Streptophyta, Magnoliopsida, Caryophyllales, Amaranthaceae. The record is from RefSeq and is a predicted model, not a curated record. The transcript has 4 exons.